Oncorhynchus tshawytscha (Chinook salmon) is the source of this 1921-nucleotide long non-coding RNA. Lineage: Eukaryota; Metazoa; Chordata; Actinopteri; Salmoniformes; Salmonidae. The record is from Ensembl.
GUGAUGGGAGCCCUCUUAUUUUACCUCUCUGUCUCGUCUUCCCUUGUAUUUUUCAAGGGCAGUGUCGGCAGGGUUUGGCAGGGAAGGGUGUAAUUUUCUAAGUAUAACCCUGGCUAAGGGGGUAGUUGGACAUGAGUUGCCAGUUUAUGUUUGCUUUUUUAAAUUGGAUCCAAACACAGGCUCAGACGUACAACCCAAAGUCCUCCUGUAGCAGCUCAACUCUUCCUUCCCACCUCUGUCUAUUCUCUCUUUCUCUGCAGGAAGGAAGUCUCAGGAGAAAUGUGAAGCUGACUACAGUGUUGGGAGGAGUAGGUGACGUCUGAAGGUCCAGCAGGAUGACAUGCUGUUAUCAUGACUGUCCUGAUCAGGUCAGGUUACAGGAGACCACAACCCUACAGAUAAUCUCUCAACCCCAACAGAGGAGGAGAGAUCUAGGGGUCUGAAGAUGUUUUUUUUAUUACCCCUCACACCCAUGGUAAAUCUUAGGCCACAGACAAAUUCCUUUGUCCUGUUACUAUGGAGAACCAGCCUCAGAACAUUAAACAUGAAAUAAAGGGAUUUGAAACAAUGGUUUCCGUCAGCCACAAUGGUGGUGAUGACGAUAGAUGGAAUAUGAAAAUGUAUGUCAUUUUUGUUUUGUUAUUAAAUGUUAAAUAGAUUACAUUAUUACGGAAACAUUGUAACGUGAAGAGUUUUCCUAGUAUAUGUUUGAUGUUUAUACAUUGUACGUUGUAUGGAAAAUAUCCAAAUCAAAGAGAAUGAUUUGGGAAAGAUUAAAUGUGAAGUUAGUUGUCUAAAAUUGGAUUUGAGUCAAAUCUAGACUUUGCCCUCAUAACUUGGUACGCCCAGAGUAUUGCCCUAAAGGCGGUUAUGCCCACUUCUGACCCAAGGGUAUAAAACCUGUGAGUAAAGAAUUUACAGACAAGACUACGUGACCCAAGCUGCAGCCAAGGUCUAAAAAGUCAACUAACCCAAAAUGCAGCGCAAGUUUGAAGACAAACCUUUUUCUACCCAAGCUACGGAUGAGUAGCUGUGUCUAAGCGGAUGAAUUCAAGUCGAACCACCUAGCCUCCAUCUCCCAUCGAAUCGUGGUAUCUACACUGUUUCAUUCCAACGCUGUGAGCUCUGAGCUACAGAGCUGUCUGUCCUCAGAAGACCCCUUCCAGAGAAAGAGUGAGGGAACAGACUCCUAAGCCAAAAGGACACUGACAUCGGGAGGAUGAUCAGAGGUGCGCUGGAGAAGUGCGUUAUCGAGCAGCCUGAACGGUCUACGCAGAGAAUCCUCGGAGGUCUUCCCCACGUCCUGUGGAAAAACAUAAAAAUCAACUAAAAGAAGACAAAUGCUGUUGCUCAUAGGGAGACCACAGACAGGUCAGAUUGGGGACCAUUCCAAUCCUCAUUUGGUAGGAAAAAUGUAUUCAACAUGUGCCAUCCCCGGACUGCAGGGAAUAUGUAAUGUUAGGCUGAUGAUCACCUUAGAUUGUAGGGGACAAGACAGGAUGAAGGGCAAAUCACUACAUCUGCAGCAGCCAGGAGGGAAGAUUGUGUCACUAACUCGGGCUGGAAGACAAAGACAGAAGCUGAGCAUGUAUGAAAAACUGACCAUGGAAUUUCAUGAGCGCAAACGAAUGUAUUUAAAAGAAGAGCAUGACAUGAAGAUGCACAUCCUUCAUGUUGAGGUGUCUAUGAAUGAGGAGGAGAGAAACAUGAAGCAGCAGUAGUACCAAUCUUCUUAUCAAAUAAGCACCAGUUCGGGGUCCCGGUAUUUCCAUUUGUGAAUAAAAAAUGUUUUGGAUAUUACUGGUUUCAAUCACCUGAGCUGUCUUUGUUGGGAGAAGUGCUGCAUAGCAAAAGCAUCUCUGCAGGCGAGUCCAUUUCUGUCAUUCUCUGCCUCAACCAUGGGAACCAUCCUCAUCUUCAA